UACGGAGGAUGCGAGCGUUAUCCGGAUUUAUUGGGUUUAAAGGGUGCGUAGGCGGCUUAGUAAGUCAGCGGUGAAAUUUUGCAGCUUAACUGUAACAGUGCCGUUGAUACUGCCAGGCUAGGAUUUGGUUGCUGUGGGUGGAAUGUGUGGUGUAGCGGUGAAAUGCUUAGAUAUCACACAGAAUAUCAAUUGCGAAGGCAGCUCACAAAGCCAAGAUUGACGCUGAGGCACGAAAGUGUGGGGAUCAAACA
This 251-nucleotide ribosomal RNA is filed under the name uncultured prokaryote. Its description in RNAcentral is "partial 16S ribosomal RNA". It matches the Rfam family "Bacterial small subunit ribosomal RNA", at positions 524 to 774 of the family's 1533-position model. The record is from RNAcentral.